GACGAAAUCUUCUAAAAAUCCGAUAAACUUUCCUUAGUCGUUUCUUCUCUCUUUUUGCGGUCGGUUUUUUCGGCUGGUCAAAGUGUUCCCUACGUACGCAUGCAGUUUAUAGUUACAACUUUAUUGUGGUCUGGUGGAGAAGCAGAAGAAUCCUGGGGGACGUUAGCAUAAAUAAUGAACUAAGCUCUAGUACAUAUAUGUAAUGGUAAAAGUCUACUAGAUAGAUGAAAGGGCUAUAAUGUGUCAUUUAUUUCGUAUAUCUGGAGCAAAGUCAUUACAUGUUAAAUGACGGCAUAAUUUCGUCAAAGGGAUAAUGACAGCGAGGGAAAAGGCAAGACUAACUCCCACGUUCAACCUUGUUUGCAAAAUCUGGAUUGCACCUGGAUUCCUCUGCUGUCUGCUUAUAAGGAAAUCGUUCCCAGUUCGCUUCAGAAACUUAAUACUCCUUGAAAACCUGGAUUGAUAAAAACAAGUCAACCAACCAGGCAACAAAGGGCUAUGCCGUGCUAUAGACUAUUAUUUAGCAGACUGAUCCCCUGACUAUGACAAGAAUAAAAGUUGGCAGCAGCAUAAUGUACAAAGUUCAGUUUUCCAGAAAGCCUUUUAACUUGCAAAAACCAGAAUAAAAUAGCCCAUAGCACUUCUUGGAACUAUUAGGAGAGAAGAAAAAAAUAUGAAAAAAUUGAACACACAAAACGCUUUCUAUUGUUCUUAUCGACAUUCGUUCCGUUUAUUCUCUCUUAAUAAGAAACUCAAUACGUACGAAUAAUGUUCACAAAUUAUAUAGAAAUAAAUGUUAUUUUUAUUUAUUA
Molecule: long non-coding RNA, 812 nt
Organism: Folsomia candida
Lineage: Eukaryota; Metazoa; Arthropoda; Collembola; Entomobryomorpha; Isotomidae
Exons: 4
Source: RefSeq, a predicted model, not a curated record